GUGGGGAAUAUUGGACAAUGGGGGGAACCCUGAUCCAGCCAUGCCGCGUGUGUGAAGAAGGCCUUUUGGUUGUAAAGCACUUUAAGCGAGGAGGAGGCUACCGAGAUUAAUACUCUUGGAUAGUGGACGUUACUCGCAGAAUAAGCACCGGCUAACUCUGUGCCAGCAGCCGCGGUAAUACAGAGGGUGCAAGCGUUAAUCGGAUUUACUGGGCGUAAAGCGCGCGUAGGUGGCCAAUUAAGUCAAAUGUGAAAUCCCCGAGCUUAACUUGGGAAUUGCAUUCGAUACUGGUUGGCUAGAGUAUGGGAGAGGAUGGUAGAAUUCCAGGUGUAGCGGUGAAAUGCGUAGAGAUCUGGAGGAAUACCGAUGGCGAAGGCAGCCAUCUGGCCUAAUACUGACACUGAGGUGCGAAAGCAUGGGGAGCAAACAGGAUUAGAUACCCUUGUAGUC
This 450-nucleotide ribosomal RNA is filed under the name uncultured bacterium. RNAcentral describes it as "partial 16S ribosomal RNA". It matches the Rfam family "Bacterial small subunit ribosomal RNA", at positions 354 to 795 of the family's 1533-position model. The record is from RNAcentral.